Molecule: long non-coding RNA, 322 nt
Filed under: Homo sapiens (human)
Lineage: Eukaryota; Metazoa; Chordata; Mammalia; Primates; Hominidae
Description: HSALNT0359398
Source: RNAcentral
CCUUGAAUGUGGCAGAAUGGCCAACUCUUCCAAAGUGAAAGUCUACAACCCAACGUGGCAGCAGGAGAAGAAUUUCUCUUCGCUCCUCACCCCAUCCUCCAUUACUACCAAACCUGGAGUUCCAGAGAGAAUGUUGCAGGAAGUCAGGGACCCGGAAAAGAGGGACUGACUGAAGCCAUGGCAGGAGAACAUAAAUUGUGAAGAUUUCAUGGACAUUUAUUAGUUCCCCAAAUUAAAACUUUUAUAAUUUCUUAUGCCUGUCUUUACUGCAAUCUGUGAACAUAAAUUGUGAAGAUUUCAUGGACAUUUAUCACUUCCCUAA